AGCGAACGCUGGCGGCAGGCUUAACACAUGCAAGUCGAACGGGCUUCUUCGGAAGUCAGUGGCAGACGGGUGAGUAACACGUGGGAACGUGCCCUUCGGUUCGGAAUAACUCAGGGAAACUUGAGCUAAUACCGGAUACGCCCUUUUGGGGAAAGGUUUACUGCCGAAGGAUCGGCCCGCGUCUGAUUAGCUUGUUGGUGGGGUAACGGCCUACCAAGGCGACGAUCAGUAGCUGGUCUGAGAGGAUGAUCAGCCACACUGGGACUGAGACGCGGCCCAGACUCCUACGGGAGGCAGCAGUGGGGAAUAUUGGACAAUGGGCGCAAGCCUGAUCCAGCCAUGCCGCGUGAGUGAUGAAGGCCUUAGGGUUGUAAAGCUCUUUUGUCCGGGACGAUAAUGACGGUACCGGAAGAAUAAGCCCCGGCUAACUUCGUG
This 435-nucleotide ribosomal RNA is filed under the name uncultured bacterium. RNAcentral describes it as "partial 16S ribosomal RNA". It matches the Rfam family "Bacterial small subunit ribosomal RNA", at positions 29 to 507 of the family's 1533-position model. The record is from RNAcentral.